Molecule: non-coding RNA, 953 nt
Filed under: Coloconger cadenati (congro)
Lineage: Eukaryota; Metazoa; Chordata; Actinopteri; Anguilliformes; Colocongridae
Description: 12S rRNA
Rfam family: Bacterial small subunit ribosomal RNA
Source: RNAcentral
CAAAAGCUUGGUCCUGACUUUAUUAUCAGUUGUAGCCUAAAUUACACAUGCAAGUAUCCGCACCCCUGUGAGAACGCCCCCCUGCCCCUGAGCCCAGGAGAGGAGGAGCCGGCAUCAGGCACACUCAAAAGUAGCCCAAAACGCCUCGCACAGCCACACCCCCAAGGGAACUCAGCAGUGACAAAUAUUAAGCCAUAAGCGAAAGCUUGACUUAAUUAAGGUUAAACAGAGCCGGUAAAACUCGUGCCAGCCGCCGCGGUUAUACGAGAGGCUCAAAUUGAUACUCCUUCGGCGUAAAGUGUGAUUAGAGACUAAUAAAAACUAAAGCUAAAUAUCCCUUAAACUGUCAUACGUUAACUGGGACCAGAAGCCCCCCAACGAAAGUAGCUUUAAUAAUUCUUGAACUCACGACCAUUAAGAAACAAACUGGGAUUAGAUACCCCAUUAUGCUUAAUUGUAAACAACGAUGGCAACAUACAAAUACCAUCCGCCAGGGGACUACGAGCGCUAGCUUAAAACCCAAAGGACUUGGCGGUGCCUCAAACCCACCUAGAGGAGCCUGUUCUAGAACCGAUAACCCCCGUUAAACCUCACCACCCCUUGCCAACCCAGCCUAUAUACCGCCGUCGCCAGCUUACCUCUUGAGCGAUUAACAGUAAGCCAAACGGGUAAUACCCAACACGUCAGGUCGAGGUGUAGCGAAUGAGGUGGGAAGAAAUGGGCUACAUUUUCUGACCCAGAAUACAACGAAAAGUGCCAUGAAAAAGCAAUAAUGAAGGUGGAUUUAGCAGUAAAAAGAAAACAGAGAGUUCUUUUGAAGCCGGCUCUGAGGCGCGUACACACCGCCCGUCACUCUCCUCGAAACCAACCAGAUAAUUUCUAAUGACCUGAACAACAAAAGAGGAGGCAAGUCGUAACAUGGUAAGUGUACCGGAAGGUGCACUUGGAAAAAU